AAUUAAAACUAAGACAUUAAGGAACAAUUUUAAUAAAGGAAAGUUGAUCAAAUUUCCACUGUAGAAUGUCCAAUGGAACAGUAUAACCAAGAGAACCAAAACUGAAAUUUUAGAAUUUCACUUAGGGAAUUUGAAAUUUCAAUUGGCAAUCAAUGCUAACACAAUUGUAGCCCAAAAUGUGGUAUGUUGAUGCAAUUAAAAUUAGUAUAACUAUUUAAUAUGAAAAAGUCAACAUUUUGACCAAUUGGUCAAAUGAAUAGUAACCAUAAAUAUACCACAUACAAAGAAUUCAACCCUUAGAGGAAAUUUAUAAGAAAAAUUUAGUGUGCAUAAAUUUAAUUGUUGAAUCAAUUAUGGGAAAUGAGUUGAAUGAAUAUUGAAACGCUUUAAAUUGUAUAUUUCAGUAGAAAAAGAUAUGGGAAAGGAUAGGGAACAAGUGAGUCAAGGCAGAAAGACGACUCAUUAGAGGUUUGUGCACAAUAAUUUUUUAUUUCUCAUUUUUUACUUAAAAAUCUAUUUGAACAUGUAUUAUGAGCAAUUUAUGUUUAUUAUAGCUUCGAGAAAUGUGGUGUUGCCUAUUUUGUAAAUGGAAAUUUAGAAAAAAAAUUUAUUAGUGCUUUGUAUGGAAUGUUUGAACACUAUGAUUUUGAAUUUAGUUUUGGAUUCACACUUGGCAUGGUAAUAUCACUAUGUUCCUCCUCCAUUUAUGGAGUGAGUAUGACUAUAUUCCUCCCUCUUUGACUUGAGUAUGGAUGAGUUCUUAUUAGCUAGCUAGCUAGCCACCUACCUCAUUGAUUUCGAUUAGCGGGGUGAGUAUGCCUUUUCGUGGUGUACAACAUGGCAUGUUCGGAAAUGUUUAUGUCA
Molecule: unclassified non-coding RNA, 864 nt
Filed under: Hevea brasiliensis (rubber tree)
Lineage: Eukaryota; Viridiplantae; Streptophyta; Magnoliopsida; Malpighiales; Euphorbiaceae
Source: RNAcentral